UAAGUUAUUGUUUUGUUUCUUCCACUCUUCUACUAACCAAAAUCAAAAUUUUUUGACAAAGAUUUACGUUCAACAUAAGUUCUGGCUGUAAAAAAAACCAUUAUUAUCAAUUAAUUAAUAAAGUUGAUGGUGACGUGAAAUAUUAUUAAAAUGAGAAUCAUUAGAUACAGUUUUGAAAUAUAUUAAAAUGAAGAACAGAUCAACACGUCAUAAAUGGAAAGAUACAUUUCAGCUUGCUGAAAUGAGGAAAACGACGAGGAAGUGGAAAUGUAUUUUCAUGAAACGACACAAAAAUGGAAUCUCCUGAAAUUAACAUAUGAUUAUUGUAGUUCUAAAAUAUAAAUGAGAAAAAUUAUUAUACUUUCGUAAUUGCUCUAUAAGGAACAACAUAUCAUCGAACGUUCCUAAAAUAUAUAUAGUUAAAAAUUAAAUGAGACAACAAAUUAUCCAGGAAAACUCGGAAUUAUCUACAAAUGAAAAGAAGCUUAUCUCUAAAAACAAUGAAAAAGAAAACGAAGAUGGUAAUGACGAUAAUGAAAACGUGAUGAUGAAAAUAAUACUUUAGUUGACCAAGACAAAGAAGAAAGAAUGGAAUGUCAUGAAAUUAAAUAAUGAAAAUAUUGUAUAUAUUUAGAAGAUAAAGAUACAACGACAAAUGCACAUUUGUUUGACCUACGAAGACAUAUUGAAUUUUCAUAAUAUAGACCAAACUAUAAUUCGAUAGAUAUGCAACAUUAGAGAACUAUGGUUAUGCUAAUCUGAUUGAUACUUUCAAGAUUUUAGCUUGGAUUGUAAUCGAGCGAUUACAAAUAGAUUUUCAUUCAUAAAAUUCAUAAAAUUACUAAAUAUAUUUGUCAAAAAUUUAAUUUUCAUCGUAUAGAUCUCGAAAUAAGUUAAAAGUCAUAUUGUUUACUCAGAUAACGAUUAUUAAUUAUAUAAAAAGAGUAAUACUUUAUCUCUUACUUGACUAAUGAAAUGAUUAAGAAAAACUAUAGCUAUAUAAAUAAUUAAGGCACUUAAUUUGUUAUCAAUGGUAUUAUUCCAUUUAAUAUUAAUUAGAAUCUCUAUUCUAAGUAUACAAAUUUAUUAUGUUCAGAGAAAUACAAUAUUUAAAUGAGCCACUGAUAUAAUGGGUGCUAUAUAAAUGGGAAAAUUAACUGAAAUACUUUUUAAUGUAAAGUCUCUUUUGAUACAGGAAACGUCCAAGAUUAUAGAAUCAUCUACUUUUGGAUAAAUUGACAAAGGAGAUAACUUCUGUGACAAAGAAAUAUAUGCGUAAGGAAGAAAAUACGAAAUUCUAUAGCGAAAGACAACAAAACUGCAACAAGAGAUAUAUAAGUUCCAUGUAAAGUAUCGUAAUUAGUUCUACUACAAAUUUGUGGGAAAAUUGAAAUUAGCAGUAAAAGAAGAAAUCUAAAAUUAUGCAACAAAGGAAGAAAGUAAACAAGAAGAAAAACGUGAGUAUUGAAAUGUCUAUAAGAAAGAGAAUGUCAAAAGAAAGAUCGACUUUGAAAUUCUCUAAUUAUGCGUUUUAUGUAUAUAUCCAUGUAAAGAAAGUAUACUUUCUUAAGUAAGAUUUGCCAUGCUUCUCAUGUCUCGUUCUUCGAUUGACUUUUGUUAUUUACAAGUCGAGCUGUUAUGAUUUUGAAGAAAAACAGGCAUUAGAAAGUAGGACCUAUGUACGAGAGAUUACAGAGAAAUUUUAUAAAGAUAAUAUAUUAAAUAAAAUUUACGUAGUGUAAAUAAUAAAUGUAAAUUGUCGUUUCUUUGAUCACAGAUAAGACUGUAAAUAGCAAAUAAUUGUUAAUUAACAAAUAAAGAUUUAUUCCUUUGUUCACAGA
Long non-coding RNA from Vespa velutina, 1841 nucleotides. RefSeq lists it as uncharacterized. The transcript has 4 exons. Lineage: Eukaryota; Metazoa; Arthropoda; Insecta; Hymenoptera; Vespidae. The record is from RefSeq and is a predicted model, not a curated record.